CAGAGGCAACCCAGUUGGAUCUCCUUCCAUACUGUGGAAGCCUGGAACUUUCACUUUGUAAUAAAUUUCGUUACUGUUGCUAUUUGGGUCCACAUCUGCCUUUAUGAGCUGUAACACUCACUGAGGAGGUCUGCAGCUUCAUUUCUGUAAGGCAGCCAGACCAGGAGCCCGCCGGGAAGAACGAACAACGCCAGUCGCGCCACCUUAAGAGCUGUAACACACGUGGAAGGUCUGUAGCUUCACUUCUGAGCCGGCGAAACCACAAACCCACCAGAAGGAAGAAACUCCGAACACAUCUGAAUAUCAGAAGGCACAAACCCACCAGAAGGAAGAAACUCUGAACACAUCUGAAUAUCAGAAGGCACAAACUCUGGACACCACCUUUAAAAACUGUUAAUGCUCACUGCGAGGGUCCGUGGUGUCAUUUCUUGACGUCAGUGAGACCAAGAACCCACCAAUUCCGGACACAUUUAAUUUAAAAAGAUUUUAAUUCUAAGUUUAUAACCCAUUAUCUUUACUCUCCAAAAUAAAUGCUCCAGUUUUUUAUUGCUGUAUAACAUCUUCUGUGGCUUAAAACAGUAAUAAUUUUUAUUUCUCAUCUUUUCUCUAGGUGAGAAAUUUUAGAAAGAACCAGCUAAGCAGUUGUGGCUUGGAAUUUCUUAACACGUUAAGAGACAGAGCAACUGUAGCUGGAACAGAGGUGAUUGGAGGAAGUAUUGGGACAGUUGGAGACUGAUCAUCUUUUUCUUUCAUGUAGUCUCAGAAUCCAGCCAUAUGGACUCCACAUGGUCUAGACUGAGCUUCCCAACAGCAAGGUAGCCUCAGGGCUGACAAACUGCUUACGUGGCCAAUCAAGACUUUAAGAACAGGCACACCAGCUAGCAAGGUAGAGGCUGCAGCACCUUUGGUCAGCUAGCCUUGUGAGGCUCAUACAUCACUUCUGCUCUCCUCUAUUGGUAGCAAUAGUGAUCAAACGAUGCCCAGUUUCAAGAAGAGGCGGCAUACACCACACCUCUCUGCAAUGGAUGUCAAAGAAUUUGCAGAUGUUUUGAAACUGACAUAAUUGAAACAAUUAUGGUUAUCUCACACACUUGCCUAAAUAAUGAAUACCAUAUUUCCCAUAAAUGCAAAUAUUUAACAAACAUGUAUUAAGCAUUUCUUGAGUCACAGAUGCUGUGGGUAAAAAAGAUGAACACAUAGUCAGCCCCCGAAUGUUU
This 1217-nucleotide long non-coding RNA is filed under the name Homo sapiens (human). Its description in RNAcentral is "HSALNT0332409". Lineage: Eukaryota; Metazoa; Chordata; Mammalia; Primates; Hominidae. The record is from RNAcentral.